This 433-nucleotide ribosomal RNA is filed under the name uncultured bacterium. RNAcentral's name for it is "partial 16S ribosomal RNA". It matches the Rfam family "Bacterial small subunit ribosomal RNA", at positions 29 to 507 of the family's 1533-position model. The record is from RNAcentral.
AACGAACGCUGGCGGCAUGCCUAACACAUGCAAGUCGAACGAGACCUUCGGGUCUAGUGGCGCACGGGUGCGUAACGCGUGGGAACCUGCCUUUAGGUUCGGAAUAACUCAGAGAAAUUUGAGCUAAUACCGGAUGAUGUCUUCGGACCAAAGAUUUAUCGCCUUUAGAUGGGCCCGCGUUGGAUUAGCUAGUUGGUGGGGUAAAGGCCUACCAAGGCGACGAUCCAUAGCUGGUCUGAGAGGAUGAUCAGCCACACUGGGACUGAGACACGGCCCAGACGAAUACGUGAGGCAGAAGUGGGGGAUAAUGGAGAAUGGCCGAAAGCCUGAUCCACUAAUGCCGCGGGAGUGAUGAAGGCCUUAGGGUUGUAAAGCUCUCCUACCAGAGACGAUAAAGAAGGGAUGGGAAGAAAAGGAUCCGGCUAAUGUAGGG